CAUGUCCUUGAAGGAAAAACGGGAACAGACCGAAUUGAAGGCAUGCUGAUAGAUUUACCUAAAGAAGACUUGAUAUGCUCGAGGUCAGAGGCAUUCUCGAAGAUGAAAAACCUAAGAUAUUUCAUAAAUCAUAAUGCACGCUUCUCUGAGGCUCCUAGUUAUCUUUCUAAUGCGUUAAGAGUGCUUAAUUAGAACAUAUAUCCGUCGCAGUCAUUGCCAUAUAAUUUUCAUGGAAAGAAACUGGUUGAUUGCAGGUACUACCAUUAUCUCCAAUUUUGGUUUACAGAAUUUCCAGAACAUGACCAAAAUGGAUUUGUCUUUUUGUGAAUUUCUGACAAAAAUCCUCGAUCUUUCUCGGAUUCCAAAUUUAGAGUGGUUGGAUUUUGCUAAGGUUCAUGCUUCUAUUGGAUCCCUUAAUAAGCUUGUGC
Molecule: long non-coding RNA, 428 nt
Organism: Juglans microcarpa x Juglans regia
Lineage: Eukaryota; Viridiplantae; Streptophyta; Magnoliopsida; Fagales; Juglandaceae
Exons: 3
Source: RefSeq, a predicted model, not a curated record